UACACUCCUGCGGGAGGCAGCAGUGGGGAAUUUUGGCCAAUGGGCGAAAGCCUGAUCCAGCCAUGCCGCGUGCAGGAUGAAGGCCUUCGGGUUGUAAACUGCUUUUGUACGGAACGAAACGGCCUUUUCUAAUAAAGAGGGCUAAUGACGGUACCGUAAGAAUAAGCACCGGCUAACUACGUGCCAGCAGCCGCGGUAAUACGUAGGGUGCAAGCGUUAAUCGGAAUUACUGGGCGUAAAGCGUGCGCAGGCGGUUAUGUAAGACAGUUGUGAAAUCCCCGGGCUCAACCUGGGAACUGCAUCUGUGACUGCAUAGCUAGAGUACGGUAGAGGGGGAUGGAAUUCCGCGUGUAGCAGUGAAAUGCGUAGAUAUGCGGAGGAACACCGAUGGCGAAGGCAAUCCCCUGGACCUGUACUGACGCUCAUGCACGAAAGCGUGGGGAGCAAACAGGAUUAGAAACCCGGGUAGUCCC
This 473-nucleotide ribosomal RNA is filed under the name uncultured organism. RNAcentral's name for it is "partial 16S ribosomal RNA". It matches the Rfam family "Bacterial small subunit ribosomal RNA", at positions 332 to 797 of the family's 1533-position model. The record is from RNAcentral.